Molecule: non-coding RNA, 2040 nt
Organism: Phasianus colchicus (ring-necked pheasant)
Lineage: Eukaryota; Metazoa; Chordata; Aves; Galliformes; Phasianidae
Source: RefSeq, a predicted model, not a curated record
CCGUCAGCCACCCGCCCGCCCCCGCGAGAGGCCGCGCUGCGGCGGAGGCCUGGUCACGUCCCGCACGGAGCCGCCGCCGCGUGAGGUGUUAUUUUAGGGCCAGUUCUGCAGAAAGGGCGAAGACGUGCCCGCGGAGGGGAGCCGUGAGCUGCAGCGCGGGCACCGGCCCGCUGAGCUGGGCCUGGAGGACCGAGAGCAGAACUAACCGGCUGACGUUUGCCGGCAGGUUGAUGCGCUGCCAUUCUCACUCCACAGAUACUUGUGAGGAAGGUCUGUUAGCAAGUCAAAUGCUUGAUCUUCGCUGUUCUGCUCUUUGCUGAAGGCAGGGCUAAACGUGGCUGAGCAGUCUGCAACAGAACAGCAAAAGAGAGGACACACAAAAAAGUGCACUUACAGGAAUCAAAACAUGAAGAUAUGCAGAGAGCAAAACUAACACAUUUCUUCGCACGUGGACUGAAACAUCCCACCAGUGCUGGAGCAGAAGCUGAGGAGCGGGAGCCCUGUGGUGUGAGAGGUGUCUGAAGGCUCCGAGAAGCUGGACAGGCCUCAAGGCAGGUCAGAAACGUCCAUACAGCCGAGUUAUUUGGCCAUCCCCGUGGCAUUAUCUAUAACUAAAUCGUAAUCUGGGUUCAAAUUAAAAGAGGUCAGAUAACAGUCUCAGUAUUCACUGCAAAGUAAAUCUAGAGUGGAUCCAAGGGUCCCUCCUGCGAGUUCACAUUAGUAAACCUGCUCUGAACCUCCAGUAGCCCAGCAGGGAUCUUGUUAAGUAGAGACCAGAGUGCAGCGCUGUAUCACCAGUAGGCUGGGCAGUCCAGCACUACUGAUGCUAUAGGGCUGAUCACCAUCAAAUCAAAAUUCCAAACUGGUCCCGAAUCUAGCUUUCCCAGAGUCCAGAUUUCCUUUCCUCAGUACUUGAAUUCAUUCAGUAUUACAAGGCCUUCUUUUGAAAAACGUGUGCCAUCUCUUAGCAGUAAAAAAGCAUGAAGGAGAAAUGUCAUAGUGCAUGGCAUGCACACAGUAACCUGAGCACCCGCAGUAAUACAAGAUGCAAGGCGGUUUUAUUAGCAAAGCUGCUUGAGGAGAGGAGGCAGUGAGACUCUUGGUAGCCCUCAGUUAGCAGAGGGUGGUCAGGAAUAAAGGACUACACGAGUCAUUUUGAGUGAAUUUGGAAAGAAUCAAAUACUAAAAAUACCUCAAAACUAUUUCCAACAUAGAAGUGAAAUACAGGAAUAGAAAUAUAGGAAUAGAGUUCAUGUGCUUCCAAUGCAAUAUUCUACAAGGAUAAGAAUAAUAGAAAACAACCAAUAAAAUGCAACUCAGUAGGACUAACUCCACUACAAAUAUAUACAUGUGACAGACCAGUACUGUGUAAUGUCUUUGAUUAUCAGAAAUUAGGAGCUUUGUGCAGCUAUAAGGGUCUGUUGUUUUGGGUAUCGCUGCAGCCAGUAAGGUGGACUCAGGUUUUAUGUUUGCUUGUUUCUUUCUCUGUUUGUUAGGAAGCAGGCAAGGGGGAGAAGGUGGGAGGAAGUCACAUAAGAACUUGGGGGAGGAAGAAUAUAAUCUCAAAUGGGAUGUGUGUACACUGUAAAGAAAUAUAAGAAAAGAGAAGCGUUACAGAUGUGUGUUCAAGACUCAAAGCUCAUUUCCACGUUUGAGUCACCUUUCUGUCCCUCCUGUGUUGUGAAAUAUCUACAAUAUACUGCAAAUAUUUAAAGAAUAAAGCCCGUGCAAACAGUUCAAAACCUGUGCUUGUAAAGUAACUGAUACAACAAACUCAGGAGGGCAAAGGACAGGUAAAUUAAAAUUAAAAAAAAAAAAAAAAAAAAAAAAAAAAGGGAAAAAAGGAUGUGGUGUGAGCACCUAGGAAGUCAUUUCUGGGAAUAUGAAACAGAAACUGUACUUUUCAGGGACGUAGCCAUCAUCUGCACCAUCCUGCCUGCUUUGUUUCACCAAAAGGAAUGAGAUUGUGGCAAGUUUAGACAGACUGGGCUUUUGUACAUCGGCCUUUGUGUUUAAAUGAAAUAAACAAAAGGGCUUGGA